RNAcentral lists this long non-coding RNA (296 nucleotides) under Mytilus galloprovincialis (Mediterranean mussel). Lineage: Eukaryota; Metazoa; Mollusca; Bivalvia; Mytilida; Mytilidae. The record is from RNAcentral.
CCAGUUCACCCAUAACUGCAAUAUUUGUUGCUUUUUUACUUACUCCAAGUAUAAAUUUACAAAAGCUUAAAUGAGCCUUCUCUACUGCCAGGUCUCCACAUAGUUUUUUGAAAUAGUUAUCCCCUUGAGUGUUUAGUUUGUGAAAGUUAAUGUCACCCCAUAUUUCACUGCCAUACAUUAAGACGGAUUUAACUGUAUGGUCAAAAACAUGAAUGAGAGUUUUUAUUUUUGGUUUAUGACCUGAGAAACAUUUUUUUAGUUUAAAUAAGGCCUUUAAUCCUUUAUUAUACAUUUCA